This 137-nucleotide transfer RNA is filed under the name Cladophialophora bantiana CBS 173.52. RNAcentral's name for it is "tRNA-Ser (CGA) (tRNA-Ser-CGA-1-1)". It matches the Rfam family "tRNA". From Rfam's summary of the family: Transfer RNA (tRNA) molecules are approximately 80 nucleotides in length. Their secondary structure includes four short double-helical elements and three loops (D, anti-codon, and T loops). Lineage: Eukaryota; Fungi; Ascomycota; Eurotiomycetes; Chaetothyriales; Herpotrichiellaceae. The record is from RNAcentral.
GACAGUUUGGCCGAGUGGUUGUAAGUAAAAUUGAGGUGCCGACCCGUGUCCAGGCUUAUUUUCUAACAAAAUGUAGAAGGCGGCAGACUCGAAAUCUGCUGGGUUCGCCCGCACAGGUUCAAAUCCUGUAGCUGUCG